This 137-nucleotide ribosomal RNA is filed under the name uncultured Dilsea sp. RNAcentral describes it as "partial small subunit ribosomal RNA". The record is from RNAcentral. Lineage: Eukaryota; Rhodophyta; Florideophyceae; Gigartinales; Dumontiaceae.
AAACAGACSAAUUAASGCUUAACGAGCGAGACUUGGGCGUGCUAGCUAGGCGCUGUUACCAUUUCCGGUAGCGAGGCGGCCUUCCUAGACGGACUGCGGGCGUCUAGUCCGCGGAAGCUCCAGGCAACAGGUCUGUG